This 224-nucleotide unclassified non-coding RNA is filed under the name plant metagenome. RNAcentral's name for it is "partial contains small subunit ribosomal RNA, internal transcribed spacer 1, and 5.8S ribosomal RNA". The record is from RNAcentral.
UCUCCGUUGGUGAACCAGCGGAGGGAUCAUUACGGGACUCGCAAGACUCCUUCACCCUGUGAACCUCUCUACAAGCACGUUGCUCCGGCGGGUGUCCCGGCGGGGGUUUGCCCUCGCCGGGGCGCACACCCCGCCAGCAGCCUACUAUCCUCUGUGUCUUAGCGUUAGCAUCUCGAGAAAAAACAAACAAGUUAAAACUUUCAACAACGGAUCUCUUGGUUCUG